This 497-nucleotide ribosomal RNA is filed under the name uncultured bacterium. RNAcentral describes it as "partial 16S ribosomal RNA". It matches the Rfam family "Bacterial small subunit ribosomal RNA", at positions 28 to 507 of the family's 1533-position model. The record is from RNAcentral.
GAUGAACGCUGGCGGCGUGCCUAAUACAUGCAAGUCGAGCGAACAGACGAGGAGCUUGCUCCUCUGACGUUAGCGGCGGACGGGUGAGUAACACGUGGAUAACCUACCUAUAAGACUGGGAUCACUUCGGGAAACCGGCGCUAAUCCCGGAUAAUAUAUUGAACCGCAUGGUUCAAUAGUGAAAGACGGUUUUGCUGUCACUUCUCGAUGGAUACGCGCCGCAUUAGCUGGUUGGUACGGUAACGGCUUAUUACGGCAACGAUGCGUAGCCGAGCGGAGAGAGUGAUAGGCGGCACGGGAGCGUGGACGCGGUCCAUGCUCCUACGAGACGGAGCAGAAGGGUAUGGUCGGCAGUAGGCGAAAGCUUGGCGGAGCAACGGCGCGUGAGUUAUGAAAGUCUUCGGAUCGUGAAGCCCUGUUAUGGGGGAAAAACAGAUGUGUAAGGAAAUGUGCAGUUCUUGACGGUACCGAAUCAGAAAGCAACGGCUAACUACGUG